Molecule: ribosomal RNA, 867 nt
Filed under: uncultured archaeon
Lineage: Archaea
Description: bacterial SSU rRNA
Rfam family: Archaeal small subunit ribosomal RNA
Source: RNAcentral
CGGUUGAUCCUGCCGGAGGCUAUUGCUAUCAGGGUUUGACUAAGCCAUGCGAGUCGAGAGGUGAAAGACCUCGGCAUACUGCUCAGUAACACGUGGAUAAUCUGCCCUCAGAUGAAGAAUAAUCCCGGGAAACUGGGGCUAAUGCUUCAUAGGAGACGGGUGCUGGAAUGCUCUGUCUCUGAAAGGUCCGCCGUCUGAGGAUGAGUCUGCGUCCGAUUAGGUUGUUGUUGGGGUAACGGCCCACCAAGCCUUUGAUCGGUACGGGUUGUGGGAGCAAGAGCCCGGAGAUGGAUUCUGAGACAUGAAUCCAGGCCCUACGGGGCGCAGCAGGCGCGAAAACUUUACAAUGCGAGCAAUCGUGAUAAGGAAACCCUGAGUGCCUGUCAAUGCAGGCUGUUCUGGUGUUUAGUCAGCACCAGGAGAAAGGGCGGGGCAAGACCGGUGCCAGCCGCCGCGGUAAUACCGGCUGCUCGAGUGAUAGCCACUUUUACUGGGCUUAAAGCGUUCGUAGCUUGGUCGUUAAGUCUCUGGGGAAAUCUUUUGGCUCAACCAAAAGACGUCUCAGAGAAACUGGCGACCUUGGGACCGGGAGAGGUAAGACGUACUUCGGGGGUAGGAGUGAAAUCUUGUAAUCCCCGAGGGACGACCGAUGGCGAAGGCAUCUUACCAGAACGGCUCCGACAGUGAGGGACGAAAGCUGGGGGAGCAAACCGGAUUAGAUACCCGGGUAGUCCCAGCCGUAAACGAUGUGCGUUAGGUGUGUCAGUGACCACGAGUCACUGAGGUGCCGAAAGGGAAACCGUGAAACGCACCGCCUGGGAAGUANGGUCGCAAGGCUGAAACUUAAAGGAAUUGGCGGGGGAGCAC